GAUCUUUGUAGAAAAUGGACGGGGUGGGGCGGCACCUCAUGCGGAAACUGGGCGGGGACUAAUGGAGAAUGGACUGAGCUGGGGCGGAGUCUGGUGGGAUUGGGCGGGGAUUGGGCGGAGCCCCCUCCCGGCUUCCAGGGAGCGUCGGCCAAGAGCCGGUUCGUGCGCGCGCCGCACAGUCAGAGUUUGGGGCUGGAAAUGCGUCGCCCCAGACCCCAGUCAGGUCGUGGUUCUGCUGAGUCUGUAGGCCAAGACCCAUUCAGCAGUUCUGCAAGAGCAGCUCGCGCCAUCCACCCGUAAGGAGUGCCCCGUGGGUGAUCUGCUGGAGCCGGAUCAGCGACCACCACGCGCAUCUCCUGACGCCCGGAAGAGCAGCUCGACGCCCCCACCAACACGGCCGCUCAUGCCCUCGGCUUACGGUGACCUUGGAAGAACUCUAGCUGCAUCUUUGUCCUUACUUCUGUUUCUCUUUCCGUCGGAGCUCUGCGCCUACUGUCCCAGCGCUCCCCAUCCCUAAGCAAAGGUGCCCACUUGGACGAGACCGUUGCAGGAAGCCGCCCUCGUACCCACCAGAGAUAAAGCCAAAAUGGGAAUUUUGCUGCCAGCCGACAGGCUGUUCUGUGUGACCUUGAUCUUUCAAACGUUCAGUUAACGUGCUAACCCCCCUUUACCCUCGAGAGGCAUUGGGACCCGAGUCAGCCUCUGGGGUUCAGCCCCUCAUUGAUGACCUUGGUCAGCACCCCCAUCCCACCUAAAGCUCCUCCGUUUGCCUCACAGUACAAGGGGAAGAACAGUAACACCUAACUCUUAGGGACCAGCAUACGGCUGAGCCAUAGUCCCUGGAAAGUGAUUUUAACACCCUAGAAAGUCUUAUCUUCGUUCUUAAUUAUUCCUGCCUUUGUCAACUGCCCUCUUGACCGGGCCUCUGAACUGCUUGUUCAAUCCCUACCUGCCCCGCCUCAGAUCUAUUAUCUCCUAUGGAGUCAGUCCCUGUUUCACAAAAUAGCCUCUGUGGAGUGUCAUCAUUUCUGGGGCAGGAGCACUGUCCUCUAUUUACUUCCCUUCAAGAUGCCUAGAAUAGUUCUCUGGGGCCUUGAAGUAAAACAGUCUUUUGCACAAGGAUAGAGGAGAGACUGUGGUAGCUCCUGCUACCCCUGGCCCUGUUCCUUUGGGGCCUAGGGCACCGUGACAUUUGAUGUGGGCAAGGUAUCCUAGGUAAAUGGAUGUAAAAGGGUGAGCCCAUCAGGUAUUGGUCAUGGAGUGAGUGUUUCCAAAGAAUCAUUAUCUUCUUGUUUCUGAGCUUUCCAGACAUAACACUGCUUCUGUCCUUAGAUCCAGCACCUUUUUGGGUUUCAGUGGGCCCUGUCUUGAAAUCAUUACUCGCUAGCUGGUAGCAGUCACGAGCCAGCCAAAUCCAGCUGCCUGGGUGACCUUGGCCAAGACACUUCACCUUUCUGAAGCUCCAUUUUUUUUUUUUUAAUCUGUAAGAUGAGAGUCUGAGGGAACAAACCCAGGAUUAGUGACAUCUAGGGUCAGGUUAGUUCUCCAUUGUAAGAGCAUAGCAGCACACAGUACCCGGGAUGUCCCAGGAGCACCCCGUCCACAGUUGUGAGCCGUCGGUGCCUUCUAAGGUAGCCAGAGAACCUCUGACACACGCAACACAGCUAGCUGGGUUAGGUAGUGCUAAGUAAACACUAGUCCCCUUCUCAGCCUGUGACCAAGGCUGGAGGUUAGCCUCACAUUUACACAUGGGUCCCACCCUCCAAACAAGAACUGACUGUCAGAAAGAAUGACCGAGCACUUCCACAUCUGUGGACGGGCCCCUCACAUCAUCUCCCACCCUGGAACAGUGACACUGCCUAGCACACGUGUCUGGAUUUCUUGUGGAGCUCUUUGUUGCUGGUUUGUUGGAUUUAUGUAGCCCAGGACAGCCCUGAACUCCUGAUCCUCCCGCCCCAGUCCCCAGAACGCUAGGGUUACAGGCCUGCAUCACCAAAUCUAGUUCUGUGUGGGCUUUUCCUCUGUGAGUAAUGGGACUUUCUUCAACCUGGUGUUGUAAGACUUUGAGCAUACAGUAAGCAGCCAAUAAGUGCCAGCCUUUACUAAUUCCGCUCACAGUCUGAUGCUAGAGGUGCCUGUGUCUUUUAGGGUUGAUUUGCAGUAAAGAGAAGGAAACACGGGCUAACAAGAGCUUAAAAGCUAAGGGCAUCAUUUUCUCAGAAGAGGCCCAGAGCUGGGUUCCUGAGGCUGACUCAAAAUGUAGUAACGUCGUCAGAGCACCUCUGACCUUGCUGUCUCUGUCACGGUGUUUGGCCUCCAAGUCACAAGAUGGCUGCUGAGAAGAGACAUCACCUCCUCUCACACAACUGUCCCGUGGCAGAAAGAGGACAAAGGGGACCCUGUCUCUUCUGUGCCUCUCUUAUUGAAAGGAUAAAAGUUAAGACCCAGCAGGUCAGAGCUGGGUCGCGUGGCCACUCCCCUAAUAGUCCCUGACCAAGACCAAGGAUCACAGCAUUGACUUAGGAGAGGCCUAUUUCAUAUCCUGGGACACUGCACCCCUAAACACGUGGGGUUCUGUUAACAAGCCUAGGGGGCCCUAAAGGUAAAGCAACAAGCACCUACUAAGCACCUGGCCUUGAAGGACAUGCUGAGCAGGAUACAGGUUACAGAAGUGAGCUGUGAGGACAGGAAUAGAGGUAAUAGCAAGUUCCUGCCCUUUCAUUCAACCGAUGGUAGCGAGAGCCUAAUAUGCAGCUACUGGGGGUUGGUAGAGGUCAGGACAGAUGUCCAGAGCAAGGAGAGGUCCCAAACAUGAUGGUCACAGUUCUUUCUGCUUCCCAGAGGCAAGCAAAGCAAAAGCCAAGAAUACACAGCUGAGGGGCCUGCAGGCCUCUGAUGACUCCAUACCCCCGACAGAGACAACUUUGUCCACAGUUGGUGGGAUCAGUGGGGGCACCCUCUGUACCCUGUCUGGUGAGACUCUCAGAUUAGCUACUACUGACUGAGAGUGACUUACUAAGCCAAAGGUUGUGUAACGAUCUCUUCCAAGAUGAAAAUGUCCCAUCCAGCAGGGAAACUCCUUAAGCGGGGAGGUGAACAACCAAAGAGACUUCAAGAGCUCCCUGAAGCUGAGCAGACUCACUAGGCCCUGCCCUGCCGCCAGAGUAAGCAAUCAAAGUUAAGAGUCCCUCUCAGACAGCAGGAAGUUGAGCAGCAAGGAAGACUCUGAGACCAGACUAGCCACCCAGAAGAAGCAGAAACCAGCCCAGCUGCUGGAAGAGUUUUAAGCCAGCUGGGACAGCUAGAAGGGACACUCUCCGGCCCGCUGAGCUGCCUGCAGGCUGUGCAAGUGUGCUCCAGGUUCUCAGCUUCAUGAGCUGUCACCCGUGCUGGGGUGGACACCUGAUGAUGUCUUUGAGUCAUUUCUGCUCCUAUAUGAGGACCCAAGCUUCCGGUAGGUAGCCAUGGGUAUCAAGAUGGCUAACAGAAUACCUCAAACCAACCAGCAAGAGAAGAAAAUUCUGGGAAAGAUGAUCUGGUCCUCAAAGAAAGAAACCAGAAGCAUCUCAUGUGUCUUCCUCCAUGCCCAGGACAUGGCCACCCCAAUGUCUGAACCCAAAUCCAUACCACACCAUCUCUCACUUCCUAGAUGCUGCCGGUGACUUGUGGAAGCUGUGACCUCUGUGUACAAACAUUACCAUCAAACCCAGUGCGACCAGCUGCUUCCUGCUCCCGCCAUCUCCACUUCUGCUCCGUGGAGAACUACACACCGAAUGGCCAGCCAGAACAAAUACUUCUCCCUUAAGUUGCUUUAGUCAUCGUAUUUUAUCACGGCAAGAGAUAAGUGACUACAGCAGAUGGCAAAGCCAUUCAUGAGAGGUACAAGAGCCUGUAGGUUUCCUCUGGGGCUGGGCAGGGGUGAGGAAUCAGAUGAGCUUCUGAGAUGUACUACAGGACUGGAGUGUGUAUGUGCGCGUCAUGUGAGCUCGCUUUAUAAUAAUCUCUUACAUUUACAUCAUUUUCUUUGUUUACAUUUAUUUUGGGGAGGAUGACGGUGCAGUAUGCAUGCAGAGGUCAGAGGACAGCUGUGAAGAGUCACUUCUCUCCUUCCACACAUGGAUCCAGGGAUCGAACACAGGUGGGCAGGCUUAGCGACAAGCUCCUUUACCCACUGAGCAAUUUCACCUGCCCCCACAUUUACUCUUUAAGCAUUUUUCUUUAAGGGAAGGUUUCUCAGCCAGGUGUGGUAGUACAUGCUUUCAUCUCAGAACUUGGGAGGCAGAGGCAG
Molecule: long non-coding RNA, 4288 nt
Organism: Mus musculus (house mouse)
Lineage: Eukaryota; Metazoa; Chordata; Mammalia; Rodentia; Muridae
Product: predicted gene, 46777
Exons: 3
Source: RefSeq, a predicted model, not a curated record